AGGUUUGUGGCCAGUGGCUGGGAGUCGGAUACUCUUAGUACCCGACCUGUGCAAAGUAGGUGACCCCAACGUUCCCCGCAGAGCACGCACGCCCGCGCUGCUGAGACUGGCCGCCUCUGUGGCCCCACUGGGGCCAUUCCAGCAAGUGCUCCCACUUGACGGGCAGGUAAAGCGAGGCCCGGGCAGACUUGCAGGAGAGGGUCUGGGCUGCGGCCGCGCUGAUCUUGGCUCCGGCCUCGAGCUCCCCGGUGUUGCCUCUGAGGGUGACUCAUCCCCAGGCACCUGAUUGGCCGCACACUCUCCCGCCCUGGACCCCGCCCCGCCAGCUGCUGGAUCCCAGGAAUGUGUUCGGCCUGUGGGGUCCCCAGGGAGCUUGGUGCUGGAACUGGGGUUGGCCCGGGCUUCUGCCCUUGAUGCGUUUCCCCUGGGUUUUCAGCCCUGGCGGCGUGGGCAGGCUGCAGGGUAUUUCCUCCGCCUGUUUCUGAUUUAUUCAUACAAAGCUCAUCAAAACCAACUCUGUCCCCGAUCUGACUGGCCUCAGUCUUUUAUCUGGGAAACAGGAAGCUGUGAAUUUUGCUAGAAGAAAACUAAGGUAUCUGCUUCGGGCCGUAUCCCGUGAUGCUGACCUCAGGGUUCAUGUGCCUCAAGAUGAAAUUCAGGGAAUUCCCGUGGUGGCUCAGUGGUAAUGAACCUGAUUGAUGUCUGUAAGGACACAGGUUCGAUCCCCGGCAUCACUCAGUGGGUUAAGGAUCCAAACAGCUGACAAGGUCUAGGCAGCCUUCACACGGUCCCUGUUUGGGAGGGACUUUUGAAAAACUGCAUGGACACGAUGAUCAAAGUAGGGACAUUUUGGGGUCCCGAGGCAGCAACCAGAAUCCCCGUGGGGAUGGCCCUGCAGAGGCGUAGCCGGUGUGACAGGGUGGAGGCCGCGUGACAGCAGGUAGGGGCUGUCAGGGGGCUGACGAGGGCCUCAGGCAGCGCUUGCGCACCUGCCAGGCCUUAUAAAGAAUCCGGACCCUCGGGGGAAGUAGGGAGCCACAGAAGGUGAGAGCGGGGGGCAGCCUCCGGGUGUUUGUCAGGACCCCCGCUUUCCUGACUCAGCAGCCAGCUUUCCCCCCUGCUCCUGAGUGUGAGGCUGGCCAGGGUCUCCCCAACCGUGCCUUCCAACAGCCCCCCUAGGUCUUGCGAAUAAGAAGCAGAGUUUGGGGACCCCCCCAUGCCAAGCCCCUCCCCGCCUGGAAGAGGGAGGUGGAGGCUUCUGCCCACACCACCUGAGGGACAAGACUGCCCCCACCUGCCCAGACCUGCCCAGGCCGGGUGGCUGGCUCGCUGGGACCUGGCCAAGCCCCUUCCACUGUCCACUUGACCGGCUUUUGCUGGGUCAUGGAACAGAGGGGCCCCCAGUCACUGGGAGGCGGUGUGCUUCGCAGCUGGGCUGGGGUUCGAGUCCACCUUUCCACGGGGCACUGUGGGACGUGAUGUAGGGCGUGUCCCUCUCUGCGUCUCAGUUUACCUCUCUGCAGGGUGGGGACAGUCGCUAGGGCAGGGUGCCACCUCCUGCAGGCUCCAAGGCUGCUCGUGGCUUUGAUGGACACCAGACCAGCAGACAAAAGCAGCCAGAGUGGGGUAGGGGUGGAAUGUUCCAGAGACCCGGCCCCUGAGGCCGAGCGGGGAGGGGCUGGGGACAGCCACGACCACAACCCUCCCUUGCUGUUCUAUUGUUGUGGGUCUUUCUGUGCUGGGGUGAUUUUGAGGUCUCCGUGGGGUUCAAAAUAGGGCGUUUGUGGGGGAGCUGGUAGCCCCUCUGGCUGGGGGUACCCUCCUGGUGGGGGGCAGAGGCUGGGAGUGGGGGACCGUGGGAGCCCCCCAGGCCAUGAGGGAGCCGAGCCAGCCAUCCAGGCUGGAGGGAGCAGCUGAGCUUGAUUAGACCACAAGCCGAGGGUCGGAUUCCAAUCAAGGGAGAACCUCAUUCCUAACGAGGCCAACAGCGCAGGGUUGAUUUCCCUGCUCCUUUCCGUUCAGAGACGGUUAAUGAGGCACCUACGGUGUCCCAGGCUCGAAUUAGCUGGGCAUCGCUGAGGUGCGUGGUUCCAUAUGGGCGGCCCCCAUGAAGGGGCCAGGAGACCAGAGCAGAGAAGGGAAAGGGGCUCCGGGGAGACACGACCUCCAAGCUCCGCGUGGCCGGUGACAGACCCUGGCGACGGCACGCAGCCGCGAUGCGUCGGGGUGAGAGGGACCCUCCUCCCCUCUGUGGUCUCCCCCAAAACCCAACGCCCAGCCGGACGAACCACGAGAAACACACCAGGCAAACCCCACCUAAGGGGCACGCCACCAAAACCUGGCCAGCCCUCCUCAAAACUGCUAAGUUCGGGAGUUCCCGUAGUGGCUCAGCGGUAACAGACCCGACGCAUACCCACGAGGACGCAGGUUGGAUCCCUGGCCUCGCUCAGUGGGUGAAGGAUCUGGCGUUGCCGUCAGCUGUGGUGUAGGUUGCAGAAGGGGCUUGGAUCCUGUGUUGCUGUGGCUGCGGUGUAGGCCGGCUGCUGUGGCUCUGAUUCAACCUCGAGCCUGGGAACCUCCAUAUGCUGCACAUAUGGCCUUAAAAAGGCCAAACAACAAACAAACAGAAACCUGUGAAGUUCACCCCAAACAAGGAAAGUCUGAGGAGCCCCCCCAGCCCAGAGGGGCCCAAGGAGAUGUGAUGCCCGAGCGUCAUGUGGGCUCCUGGAUGGGGUCCUGGGGCCACAGCAGGACAUUAGGGGACGAACUAAGGGACUCUGAAUAGUGCGGACUUGAGUUCCUAAGGUGGGGUCUUGGCUGAUGAAUUGUAACCAGGGCCCCACACGGACGUGAGACGCUGAAAUCCUUGGGAAAACCGGGCGCGGGCAGAUGGGAACGCUCUGUACACCCGUCUCAGUUCGGCUGCUGACCUUGAAUUGUUCUAAAUAAAUGAAAUUUUACUAACAAAAAGGAGGCUCCAGAGCCAAGAACACAUGGUGGUGGUGGUGGAGGGAUGAGUAAGACUCGGCAGCCCCAUCACAGCACAGCCCCGUCACAGCUCAGCUCAAGGCACCCAGGGAUUCUGCCGUGAAGGCCCCGUGUUGCUUUGCCUGACCCCCGAGUCCCACCCGCACUGCCCGCUGGAUACCUCCCGCGGUGGAACCAACACUCCAACAGCUGGUUCUGAGCCGCGGUGGGUGAGGAGCCCAACUUUGGUGGGACAUUGUGACCAGUGGGCCUCCUUGCCUGUCCCAGCCCUUCUGGGUGGGCGGACGGAUGCACAGCCUCUGCAGGGGUCCGUCCUGCCGUGCCACCCCCUGUCCUCUGUACCCCCGGGCUCCACGGGGGAGGGCUGGAGUCAGUGGAGAGCUUGGCAAGUCCCCGGCUGGCUGUGCAGCCUUUUUUCUGCCCGCACAGGCUGAAUCCUCGCGCCCCAGUGAGGCCAGUGUGACGGUUCCCGCCUUACAGGUGUGCCAAGUCGUGGCAGGGGUGGCAGGGCCGGAAGUCCCAGCUGAGUCUCUCCAACUGGAAAGCCAGGCUCUUACCCAGCUCACCACACCCGUCUCGGCACGCAGGGUGGCCCCGACGCCGUGCAGAACUGGUGACCGCAAGCCCGGGUGUGAACUGGGCCCUCGCCAGGGCGUGGGGCUGGCGGGGCAGUGAUGGACUGUAAGUCACACCCUCGACUUGCUCAGAUUUCCUUAUGUUUUCACGGCGAGUGUGUAUUUCCGGUGCUAUCAGACGGAGUCCUUCCACGGGGGGCGGGGGGGGGGCAAGGAUGCCUGGGGCGGCAGGAGGAAGGGAGCCCUCUUUCCAGCCCCUCCUUGCAAGAGGGCUUCAAGUCUGCCCCUGGGAAUUUCUGGUCUUGGGGGGAAGCUGGAAACCCAACAAGAGCAGCUUUGUCCCUCCAGGCCUGCGCCUGUGCAAACGCCCCAGAGCCCAGGGCAGGAGGCAGCGUGAUUCCCACACCGCCGUCCAAGAGGCAGCCGGCAACCUCGCCCGCUGCUCCCAACCACCGCCCCGUCUCCAGGCCAUCGGACGCCCCAGUGGCCCAUGGAGGUCAGUGGCUGUCACCCCACUUAGGGGCGGAGGAUGCCGGGACAAGGCAAGAGACUGCCUGGGGGGGGGGGGUGGGGGGCUGGGUUCUCGUCUCCACCCUGUGGAAACGUGCUGGGUGCCCCGGGUGAGUGGAUCUCUGUCAGAGGGGGCCCAGUAGUUACCCAGCUACUGGCCGCCUGGGGCCAGGCAGGACACCGGGGCCCAUGGUGGGGGGCGUGGCAGAGAGAAUGGCGUAUCGGGAGCUAGGUUCUGGAAGGUUCCGGAGAGGCCAGACAGGAGGGUGAGGCGGCUCAGAGACCCACACCCCCCAGGGGCCCCCAUGUCCCCCUGUGGAAGGAGGGACCGCUGGGCAGGAGCUGAGCCACAGAAGUGGUGCUGUGGUGCAGCACCCACCUCCCCAGGUCAGGUCAGAGGUACCCGUUCUCCAAGCUGCUGAGCUGCUGUCUGCGGAUGCCUUGCGGCUAGGUACUUCUCCAGAGCUGCCCCACCCAAGUUUAGGCCCUGGGGGGCAUGGGAGCACCAAGUCGCAGUCCCCUUGCCUUGACUGGGGCAGCCCUAAAGGGGAGCCCAGCGCCAGAGCUUUCCGUGAGGUCCACUGAAGCCUUCUGCCCCAUCCUGGAGCCCUCACUGGCUCACAGGUGCGUCCCUGAGAGCCCUGCCCAGUAGGCCAGCUGCCUGCAAAUCCCCCCUCCAGGCUGGUCUCCUGAGAACCUGACUGCAGGCCUUUGGGCCUAGAAAUGGCACCACGGAGACAUUGUUAAGAUGGGCUUUGGGAGGGAAGCAGUCGUUUUCAAGGGCUCGAGAAUUGGAUGCUAUGACUGGCUGUGGUCAUUGGACGGAAGAGACACAGUGAGAGCCUGAGGGUGCCUUUGCAUCGAUCUAAGAGUAAGUGUGGGUGGGAGUUCCCGUCGUGGCUUUGUGGUAAGGAGCCCGACUAGGAUCCAUGAGGAUGCGGGUUCAAUCCCUGGCCUCGCUCAGUGGGUUAAGGAUCUGGUGUGGCCAUGAGAUGGGGUGUAGGUCGCAGGCUUGGCUCGGAUCCCUUGUUGAUGUGGCUGUGUCGUAGGCUGGUACCCAUAGUUCCCGUUUGCUCCCUUGCCUGGGAACUUCCACAUGCUGCAGGUGUGGCCCU
Molecule: long non-coding RNA, 5188 nt
Filed under: Sus scrofa (pig)
Lineage: Eukaryota; Metazoa; Chordata; Mammalia; Artiodactyla; Suidae
Description: lncRNA (ENSSSCG00000057577.1)
Source: RNAcentral